GAUGAACGCUAGCUACAGGCUUAACACAUGCAAGUCGCGGGGCAGCAUGGGGGUUGCUUGCAAUCCCCGAUGGCGACCGGCGCACGGGUGAGUAACGCGUAUCCGACCUGCCCUUCACCACGGGAUAACCCGGCGAAAGUCGGACUAAUACCGUAUGUUGUCCAUUGACGGCAUCCGAUUUGGACGAAAGGCUUGGCGGUGAGGGAUGGGGAUGCGUCCGAUUAGCCAGACGGCGGGGUAACGGCCCACCGUGGCUACGAUCGGUAGGGGUUCUGAGAGGAAGGUCCCCCACACUGGAACUGAGACACGGUCCAGACUCCUACGGGAGGCAGCAGUGAGGAAUAUUGGUCAAUGGGCGCAAGCCUGAACCAGCCAAGUAGCGUGCAGGAUGACGGCCCUAUGGGUUGUAAACUGCUUUUAUGCGGGGAUAAAGUGGCCCACGUGUGGGCUUUUGCAGGUACCGCAUGAAUAAGGACCGGCUAAUUCCGUG
RNAcentral lists this ribosomal RNA (490 nucleotides) under uncultured bacterium. RNAcentral describes it as "partial 16S ribosomal RNA". It matches the Rfam family "Bacterial small subunit ribosomal RNA", at positions 28 to 507 of the family's 1533-position model. The record is from RNAcentral.